GCCCCAGGGCCUCCCUCCCCACCUCCCCGAAACCGGCUACCGCAUCCCCGCCCGCAGCUGCGCCUUUAAACUUGAGAAAAUCCGAAUUUAGACCCGCAAGUGACCAAGACCGCCUUGGGGAGGACAGACCGGUCCCUCCCCUCCCCCCACUCCUGAGCUAGGAGGGGCACGGGGCGCCUCCCCGACACCUCCCCCCCGCCCCCACUGUCGGGUCUGCUCUUCCAUCCCUACAGAGGGAUGCCCACCACGGACUCUGAGCCCCUCGGACCUGACCGGCAGCACAGUAGGGCCCAGGCCCUGCCAUCGCCACAUGUCUGCGCCCACCCAGGCAGCUCUACACCCCACACUCAGGACAACCCGCCAUGUCCUGGUCCCCCAGCCCCUUCGCGGGCAUGGGGGGUGAGGGGCCAGGCUCCGGGACUCCCUCCUCCCGUGGCCUUGCACAGCCGCUCACUGACUGCAGCCCCAUCCUCCAGAAAGCUGUUCGCCCCUGGGCACAUGUUGGUUCAGCAGGUGCCAGGACCCAUGCUGGGGUCUGUGUCCACAGGGACCAGGGCAGCCGUGCCCCAGGGGAGCAGGAAGAGUUGUGUGUGUGAACAUGGGCGCUUCCCGAGGCCGGCGAGCCCACCAGCAGGGUGCUUGGGCAGAGAGAGGGGCAGGACACACACGUCCCCUAACACGGGGAAUGCAGACCAGAAGACGGGCAGCCAGGGCAGCUGCUGGAGGACCCGCUUCCCUCUGAGGUCAGACUCCCCCGAGCACGCCCCUGCCCAGCCAGGGAGGAGAGCGCUGCUGCCCAGGCAGUCUGCGUCCGUCCCCACAGCAGGGCACAUGGCCCUGUGGGCAGAAAAGGACCUGUGCCGUCCUUCAGUCCCUGGCACAGCUGGGAGCCCUCCAAGGCCUGGCCCCUCGGAGCCCCGGCGCCUGUGCCUCCCCUGGUUCCCUGCACACGGACCCUGCGGGAGGAGCCCUGGGCCCUCCUGCAGAUGGAGGAGCUGAGGCUAGGGGGCACGCUGCUUCCCCACGUGGGAGAAGUAAGUCUUUUCUGUCAAACCAAAGUGACUCCAUUUUCGAUGGUAGCUUCCUUGUCUUGUAAGAAGUUCCACUUUUAAGUGAGUUACAGGAUUCUGAGAUCUGCUGCCCCGUCCCAACACCACAAACAGCUGCUGCCCAUUGCUGCCCCUGGUUUCUUCUGUGAGCUCUGCCACGUCAAGUCAGCCGUCAGAAAUCUCCACUCAUUCUGCUUAGACAGCCGCGAAGUGGAAGGCAAGCCUGAGCCAAUGGGGCAAAAGGCCAGGACCUCCCGCCACACCCACACCGCCCCUCAGAAGACCAGGAGGCCGCCCGUGGCACCUGCUCCUCUGUUGACAGCCGGCCACGCACCCUUCUGCAGAAGUAAAUGUUCUUGCUGAGACACCUUGUGUCUGUGUCUUGUUCAACACCCAGUCACUGAAAACAUCUUUCUUAGAACUGAAUCCGCACACUGCAACACUCACCCUUUUUAUUUAUUUGAAAGUCAAAGUUACACAGAGAGGAGAGGCAGAGAGAGAGAGAAACAGACAGAGAGACAGAGAGAGGUCUUCCAUCCGCUGAUUUACCCCCCUAAAUGGCCACAACGGCCAGAGCUGCGCCAAUCCAAAGCCAGGAGCCAGGAGCUUCUUCCUGGUCUCCCACGCGGGUGCAGGGGCCCAAGGACUUGGGCCAUCUUCUACUGCUUUCCCAGGCCACAGCAGAGAGCUGGACUGGAAGAGGAGCAGCCGAGACUAGAACCGGCGCCCAUAUGGGAUGCCAGCGCCGCCUACUGCGCCACGUUGCCGGCCCCGAGCCCCGUAUUUUUGUCCAUGUUCUGUGGUUUCAGCCUUUUCAGAUCUCAGGUCUUUGACCCAUUUGGAGUUCAUUUUUGUCUGUGGUGUAAAGAAAGGGACCCAAUGUCAUCUCUCUCUUUUUUUUUUUAAGAUUUAUUUUAUUUUUUGAAAGACAGUUACAGAGAGAGGGAGAA
Molecule: long non-coding RNA, 1999 nt
Organism: Oryctolagus cuniculus (rabbit)
Lineage: Eukaryota; Metazoa; Chordata; Mammalia; Lagomorpha; Leporidae
Source: Ensembl